This 406-nucleotide ribosomal RNA is filed under the name uncultured bacterium. Its description in RNAcentral is "partial 16S ribosomal RNA". It matches the Rfam family "Bacterial small subunit ribosomal RNA", at positions 28 to 526 of the family's 1533-position model. The record is from RNAcentral.
GAUGAACGCUAGCUACAGGCUUAACACAUGCAAGUCGAGGGACGGGCGCACGGGUGAGUAACACGUAUCUAACCUGCCCUGUGGUCGAGGAUAGCCUUUCGAAAGAAAGAUUAAUACCCGAUAUAAAGGAUGGGGAUGCGUUCCUUUAGGUUGUUGGUGAGGUAACGGCUCACCCAGCCUUCGAUGGAUAGGGGGUCUGUGAGGAAGGUCCCCCAGAUUGGAACUGAGACCCGGUCCAAACUCCUAGGGGCGGCAGCAGUGAGGAAUAUUGGUCGAUGAGCGCUAGCCUGAACCAGCCAAGUAGCGUGAAGGAUGAAUGCUUAUGAGUCGUAAUCUUCUUUUAUAUAAGAAGCUGUAUUAUAUGAAUAAGGAUCGGCUAACUCCGUGCCAGCAGCCGCGGUAAUUC